CUUUGGUGGCGACCGGCGCACGGGUGCGUAACGCGUAUGUAACCUACCUAUAACAGGGGCAUAACACAGAGAAAUUGGUACUAAUUCCCCAUAAUAUUCGGAGAGGCAUCUCUCCGGGUUGAAAACUCCGGUGGUUAUAGAUGGACAUGCGUUGUAUUAGCUAGUUGGUGAGGUAACGGCUCACCAAGGCAACGAUACAUAGGGGGACUGAGAGGUUAACCCCCCACACUGGUACUGAGACACGGACCAGACUCCUACGGGAGGCAGCAUG
Molecule: ribosomal RNA, 271 nt
Filed under: uncultured bacterium
Lineage: Bacteria
Description: partial 16S ribosomal RNA
Rfam family: Bacterial small subunit ribosomal RNA
Source: RNAcentral